GCCUCCUUAGCUUAGUCGGUAGAGCAUCCGCUUUGUAAGCGGAAGGUCGCCGGUUCGAUUCCGGCAGAAGGCU
Non-coding RNA from Eimeria maxima, 73 nucleotides. NCBI's taxonomy places the organism in Eukaryota, Apicomplexa, Conoidasida, Eucoccidiorida, Eimeriidae. The record is from Rfam.